This 253-nucleotide ribosomal RNA is filed under the name uncultured bacterium. RNAcentral describes it as "partial 16S ribosomal RNA". It matches the Rfam family "Bacterial small subunit ribosomal RNA", at positions 524 to 776 of the family's 1533-position model. The record is from RNAcentral.
UACGUAGGGUGCGAGCGUUAAUCGGAAUUACUGGGCGUAAAGCGUGCGCAGGCGGUUCGUUGUGUCGGCGGUGAAAGCCCCGGGCUUAACCUGGGAAUGGCCGUUGAAACUGGCGAACUGGAGUGUGGCAGAGGGGGGUGGAAUUCCGCGUGUAGCAGUGAAAUGCGUAGAUAUGUGGAGGAACACCGAUGGCGAAGGCAGCCCCCUGGGAUAACACUGACGCUCAUGCACGAAAGCGUGGGGAGCAAACAGG